RNAcentral lists this ribosomal RNA (497 nucleotides) under uncultured bacterium. Its description in RNAcentral is "partial 16S ribosomal RNA". It matches the Rfam family "Bacterial small subunit ribosomal RNA", at positions 28 to 507 of the family's 1533-position model. The record is from RNAcentral.
GAUGAACGCUGGCGGCGUGCCUAAUACAUGCAAGUCGAGCGAACAGACGAGUAUCUUCCUCCUCUGACGUUUGCCGCGGACGUGUGUUUUACACGUGUAUAACCUACCUAUUUGACUGUUAUACCUUCGGGAAACCGUUGCUAAUACCUGAUAAUUUAUUUUACCGCAUGGUUCAAUAGUGAACUACGGUUUUUCUGUCUCUUAUUGAUGGUUCCGCGCCGCAUUAGCUAGUUGGUAAGGUAACGGCUUACCAAGGCAACGAUGCGUAGCCGACCUGAGAGGGUGAGCAGCAACACUGGAACUGAGACACGGAACAGAGUACUACGGGAGGCAGCAGUAGGGAAGAGUGGGCAAUGGGCGAAAGCAUGACGGAGCAACGCCGAGUGAGUGAAGAAGGUCUUCGGAUCGUAAAACACUGUUAUUAGGGAAGAAAAAAUGGGUAAGAAAAUAUGCAGGUGAUGACGGUAACGAAAGAGAAAGCAACGGCUAACUACGUG